UUGCUUAGGCAGCACAUAUACCGAAAUUGGAACAACACAGAGAAGAUUAGCAUGGCCCCUGCACAAGAAUGACACACAAAUUGAUGAAGCAUUCUAUGUUUUU
Non-coding RNA from Canis lupus familiaris (dog), 103 nucleotides. The record is from Rfam. Lineage: Eukaryota; Metazoa; Chordata; Mammalia; Carnivora; Canidae.